Molecule: ribosomal RNA, 119 nt
Organism: Melipona quadrifasciata
Lineage: Eukaryota; Metazoa; Arthropoda; Insecta; Hymenoptera; Apidae
Source: Rfam
ACCAACGUUCAUACCGCACUGAAUGCACUCGUUCUCGUCCGAUCACGAAAGUUAAGCAGUGCUGGGCACGGAUAGUACUUAGAUGGGUGACCGCUUGGGAACUCCGUGUGAUGUUGGUU